UACGGGGGGAGCAAGCGUUGUUCGGAUUUACUGGGCGUAAAGGGCGCGUAGGCGGUAGCACAAGUCAGUUGUGAAAUCUCCGGGCUUAACUCGGAAAGGUCAACUGAUACUGUGCGACUAGAGUGCAGAAGGGGCAACUGGAAUUCUCGGUGUAGCGGUGAAAUGCGUAGAUAUCGAGAGGAACACCAGUGGCGAAGGCGAGUCUCUGGACAUUUCCUGACGCUGAGGCACGAAAGCCAGGGGAGCAAACGGG
RNAcentral lists this ribosomal RNA (253 nucleotides) under uncultured bacterium. RNAcentral's name for it is "partial 16S ribosomal RNA". It matches the Rfam family "Bacterial small subunit ribosomal RNA", at positions 524 to 776 of the family's 1533-position model. The record is from RNAcentral.